UUGAUCCUGGCUCAGGAUUAACGCUGGCGGCGUGCAUAACACAUGCAAGUCGAACGAUGAAACUUAGUAGACUUCUUCGGAAAGACACUAAGCGGAUUAGUGGCGAACGGGUGAGUAACGCGUGAGUAACCUGCCUUACACAAGGGGAUAGCCUUUGGAAACGAAGAAUAAUACCCUAUAAAACCAUAAAAGCACAUGCUAGAAUGGUCAAAGUGAUAGCGGUGUAAGAUGGACUUGCGUCUGAUUAGCUAGUUGGUGAGAUAAAAGCUCACCAAGGCAACGAUCAGUAGCCGGCUUGAGAGAGUGUACGGCCACAUUGGGACUGAGACACGGCCCAGACUCCUACGGGAGGCAGCAGUGGGGAAUUUUGCACAAUGGGGGAAACCCUGAUGCAGCGACGCCGCGUGAUUUAGAAGGCCUUCGGGUUGUAAAAAUCUUUUGUAUAGGAAGAAAAUGACAGUACUAUACGAAUAAGGUCCGGCUAAUUACGUGCCAGCAGCCGCGGUAAUACGUAAGGACCGAGCGUUGUCCGGAAUCAUUGGGCGUAAAGGGUACGUAGGCGGCUAGAAAAGUUAGAAGUCAAAGGCUAUAGCUCAACUAUAGUAAGCUUCUAAAACUAUUUAGCUUGAGAAAUGGAAGGGAAAGUGGAAUUCCUAGUGUAGCGGUGGAAUGCGCAGAUAUUAGGAAGAAUACCGGUGGCGAAGGCGACUUUCUGGCCAUUAUCUGACGCUGAGGUACGAAAGCGUGGGUAGCAAACAGGAUUAGAUACC
This 770-nucleotide ribosomal RNA is filed under the name uncultured Eubacteriales bacterium. RNAcentral's name for it is "bacterial SSU rRNA". It matches the Rfam family "Bacterial small subunit ribosomal RNA", at positions 13 to 786 of the family's 1533-position model. Lineage: Bacteria; Bacillati; Bacillota; Clostridia; Eubacteriales. The record is from RNAcentral.